UACGUAGGGGGCAAGCGUUGUCCGGAUUUAUUGGGCGUAAAGAGCGUGUAGGCGGUUUGGUAGGUCCGUUGUGAAAACUCGAGGCUCAACCUCGAGACGCCGAUGGAAACCAUCAGACUAGAGUCCGGAAGAGGAGAGUGGAAUUCCUGGUGUAGCGGUGAAAUGCGCAGAUAUCAGGAAGAACACCCGUGGCGAAGGCGGCUCUCUGGAACGCAACUGACGCUGAGACGCGAAAGCGUGGGGAGCAAACAGG
Molecule: ribosomal RNA, 253 nt
Filed under: uncultured bacterium
Lineage: Bacteria
Description: partial 16S ribosomal RNA
Rfam family: Bacterial small subunit ribosomal RNA
Source: RNAcentral